UUAGUCAACAUUAAGAUUAUCAGAUUAUUAAGAAAUUAAAUAAUCAGUGUGAUAUUGUCUUUUACUGUUGCUUGACAACUAGAUUACUGUACCCAAUGAGUCAUUGUAUGUACAGUAAAAACGGUUUUAUUGUACUUUGGACAGUAUUCGUAUUGGAUUAUUCACUAUUCAGUGUCAGUUGUUAUUAAAUUGUAUGAAUACUUUGUUUUUCUCUGCUGUGUUUGUUGUUUAAAUCAGUAGAAUUAUCAAACGCACACUAAAGUAUAACGUGUAUACAACUUUGUCAAGAGACCUGGAUUCGUAGAGUUAAGAUUAAUAUUGAAACGAGACCAGUUAUGACCAAACUUAAAGGUGAUGGUUAACAACAAAAAAUAUAUAAUAAUGAAGGAGAAUAUUCCUAAUAUUUUGUGAGCAGAAUGUGAUUUCUAUGAACUUCAUAUACUGUGUGACUAAUCUUGUUGAAUAAAGGGAAUCAAAGUGUUCAGUGAUCUUCAUAGCCAAUAAUUUGAACUUCAAAAAUCAAGAAAAAUGUCUUUGAUUAUUGAGUUUAUACACAUAAAUACCCGAUCAAAGUGUUUUAGACACUCACAACUAUGUCUUCUAUAAAUGUUAGGCUGGCUUUGGAUAA
Long non-coding RNA from Melanaphis sacchari, 628 nucleotides. RefSeq lists it as uncharacterized. The transcript has 4 exons. Lineage: Eukaryota; Metazoa; Arthropoda; Insecta; Hemiptera; Aphididae. The record is from RefSeq and is a predicted model, not a curated record.